UAUCAACGCUACGACUAAAGCCUGAUUGAUUGAACACACAGCUGUCGGAGACAAACUGCACUUUCAGAGUAUUGUAUUUAAAGGUGCUUUACUCCACUGUGUUUAUCCUAGAGUCGCUGUGGAUGUGUUUGAUGCAUGACAAGUGUGAGGAAAUGUCAGAAGACGUAACGUCCGGCGUCAGCAGCUCUGGGAGGACGGCAGGACUCCGCAGGGCUGCUGAGAGUCUGCUGGGUUCUGGCCCGGAUCGAGUUUGGCACGGUGGACUGAACAGGAGGAACCUCGGCCUCUCUCUGCACCCGCAGGCAGGAAACAGCCUGGCACACUACCAUGUGUUUUCCUACGAGGCUCGAGGAGAAUCAGUCUAAACCAUCCGGGGAUUAUCCACAGUUUUAUUAAAAACUACAACACGUUUUCCUGUUGGUCCGGUGGGCUCCCUCCGUCAUGAUGAUGCCCACCAUGUGAGUGACAGGUUCCGUUUCCAUGAUGGCGAAGGUGAAGAGGGGGUCGUCGAACGUGAUUGGCUCGUCGGAGGGCGGCGGGGGGGCGACCCACUCAAUGUCGAGUCUCGCCGUGGACGAGUGGGACGGGCUGCCCUGGUCCGUCGCAUUAAUCUGGAAACCAACAGAGAAAUUAAAUCAGUUUUUUAACGAAGGAGCUGGAGGGUCUCAGUGUACGGGGGCCCACGAGGUCCCAUUUUUAAAAUAUUAUUUAAAGCAGGAAAAAAAAUGACAAAAACGAGACUUUAGUCUAACCAUGAAAAUACAAAAUAUUCAUUGAAAAAAAUUCAAAUAAAUAUUGUUUCUAAUUCAAA
Long non-coding RNA from Eleginops maclovinus (Patagonian blennie), 811 nucleotides. RefSeq lists it as uncharacterized. The transcript is spliced from 3 exons. The record is from RefSeq and is a predicted model, not a curated record. Lineage: Eukaryota; Metazoa; Chordata; Actinopteri; Perciformes; Eleginopidae.